CCUACGGGUGGCAGCAGUGAGGAAUAUUGGUCAAUGGACGCAAGUCUGAACCAGCCAUGCCGCGUGCAGGAAGACGGCUCUAUGAGGUGUAACCUGUUUUUGUACGAGGGUAAACUCAGAUACGCGGAUCUGUCUGAAAGUAUCGUACGAUUAAGGAUCGCCUAACUCCGUGCCAGAAGCCGCGGUAAUACGGAGGAGUAAAGCGUUAUCCGGAUUUAUUGGGUUUAAAGGGUGCGUAGGCGGUCGGUUAAGUUAGGGGUGAAAGCCCGAGGCUCAACUUCGGAAUUGCCUUUGAUACUGGUCGGCUGGAGAGUAGUUGCGGUAGGAGGAAUGUAUGGUGUAGCGGUGAAAUGCUUAGAGAUCAUACAGAACACCGAUUGCGAAGGCAGCUUACCAAGCUACUUCUGACGUUGAGGCACGAAAGCGUGGGGAGCAAACAGGAUUAGAUACCCCGGUAGUC
RNAcentral lists this ribosomal RNA (460 nucleotides) under uncultured bacterium. Its description in RNAcentral is "partial 16S ribosomal RNA". It matches the Rfam family "Bacterial small subunit ribosomal RNA", at positions 338 to 795 of the family's 1533-position model. The record is from RNAcentral.